UACGGAGGAUCCAAGCGUUAUCCGGAUUUAUUGGGUUUAAAGGGUGCGUAGGCGGCUUAUUAAGUCAGGGGUGAAAGACGGUGGCUCAACCAUCGCAGUGCCUUUGAUACUGAUGAGCUUGAAUACACUUGAGGUAGGCGGAAUGUGACAAGUAGCGGUGAAAUGCAUAGAUAUGUCACAGAACACCAAUUGCGAAGGCAGCUUACUAAGGUGUUAUCGACGCUGAGGCACGAAAGCGUGGGGAUCAAACAGG
Molecule: ribosomal RNA, 253 nt
Filed under: uncultured bacterium
Lineage: Bacteria
Description: partial 16S ribosomal RNA
Rfam family: Bacterial small subunit ribosomal RNA
Source: RNAcentral